This 1693-nucleotide ribosomal RNA is filed under the name Vibrio parahaemolyticus. RNAcentral's name for it is "partial 23S ribosomal RNA". It matches the Rfam family "Bacterial large subunit ribosomal RNA", at positions 1 to 1749 of the family's 2925-position model. Lineage: Bacteria; Pseudomonadati; Pseudomonadota; Gammaproteobacteria; Vibrionales; Vibrionaceae. The record is from RNAcentral.
GGUUAAGUGACUAAGCGUACACGGUGGAUGCCUUGGCAGUCAGAGGCGAUGAAAGACGUAGUAACUUGCGAUAAGCCCAGAUUAGGUAGUAACAACCAUUUGAGUCUGGGAUUUCUGAAUGGGGAAACCCACGUGCAUAAGCACGUAUCCUUACCUGAAUACAUAGGGUAAGGAGGCGAACCGGGGGAACUGAAACAUCUAAGUACCCCGAGGAAAAGAAAUCAACCGAGAUUCCGAAAGUAGCGGCGAGCGAAAUUGGACUAGCCCUUAAGCUUUACACGCGUUAGACGAACGGUCUGGAAAGUCCGACGAUACAGGGUGAUAGUCCCGUAGUUGACGACGUGUGUUCAGUGAAAUCGAGUAGGGCGGGACACGUGAUAUCCUGUCUGAAUAUGGGGGGACCAUCCUCCAAGGCUAAAUACUACUGACUGACCGAUAGUGAACCAGUACCGUGAGGGAAAGGCGAAAAGAACCCCUGUGAGGGGAGUGAAAUAGAACCUGAAACCGUGUACGUACAAGCAGUAGGAGCAGGCUUUGUCCUGUGACUGCGUACCUUUUGUAUAAUGGGUCAGCGACUUAUAUUCAGUGGCAAGGUUAACCAUCUAGGGGAGCCGUAGGGAAACCGAGUCUUAACUGGGCGUUCAGUCUCUGGAUAUAGACCCGAAACCAGGUGAUCUAGCCAUGGGCAGGUUGAAGGUUGAGUAACAUCAACUGGAGGACCGAACCGACUAAUGUUGAAAAAUUAGCGGAUGACUUGUGGCUAGGGGUGAAAGGCCAAUCAAACCUGGAGAUAGCUGGUUCUCCCCGAAAGCUAUUUAGGUAGCGCCUCGGACGAAUACUACUGGGGGUAGAGCACUGUUAAGGCUAGGGGGUCAUCCCGACUUACCAACCCUUUGCAAACUCCGAAUACCAGUAAGUACUAUCCGGGAGACACACGGCGGGUGCUAACGUCCGUCGUGGAGAGGGAAACAACCCAGACCGCCAGCUAAGGUCCCAAAUUACUACUAAGUGGGAAACGAUGUGGGAAGGCUCAGACAGCCAGGAUGUUGGCUUAGAAGCAGCCAUCAUUUAAAGAAAGCGUAAUAGCUCACUGGUCGAGUCGGCCUGCGCGGAAGAUGUAACGGGGCUAAGUAGUAAACCGAAGCUGCGGCAAUGUGCUUUUGCACAUUGGGUAGGGGAGCGUUCUGUAAGCGGUUGAAGGUGUGUGGUAACGCAUGCUGGACGUAUCAGAAGUGCGAAUGCUGACAUGAGUAACGAUAAAGGGGGUGAAAAACCUCCUCGCCGGAAGACCAAGGGUUCCUGUCCAACGUUAAUCGGGGCAGGGUAAGUCGACCCCUAAGGCGAGGCCGAAAGGCGUAGUCGAUGGGAAACGGGUUAAUAUUCCCGUACUUCUUACAAUUGCGAUGGGGGGACGGAGAAGGCUAGGUGGGCCUGGCGACGGUUGUCCAGGUUCAAGUGCGUAGGCUUGAGAGUUAGGUAAAUCCGGCUCUCUCUAAGGCUGAGACACGACGUCGAGCACCUACGGGUGUGAAGUCAUUGAUGCCAUGCUUCCAGGAAAAGCCUCUAAGCUUCAGAUUGUAAGGAAUCGUACCCCAAACCGACACAGGUGGUCGGGUAGAGAAUACCAAGGCGCUUGAGAGAACUCGGGUGAAGGAACUAGGCAAAAUGGUACCGUAACUUCGGGAGAAGGUAC